RNAcentral lists this ribosomal RNA (1552 nucleotides) under human gut metagenome. RNAcentral describes it as "bacterial LSU rRNA". It matches the Rfam family "Bacterial large subunit ribosomal RNA", at positions 451 to 1990 of the family's 2925-position model. The record is from RNAcentral.
GACCAUCCUCCAAGGCUAAAUACUCCUGACUGACCGAUAGUGAACCAGUACCGUGAGGGAAAGGCGAAAAGAACCCCGGCGAGGGGAGUGAAAAAGAACCUGAAACCGUGUACGUACAAGCAGUGGGAGCACCUUCGGGUGUGACUGCGUACCUUUUGUAUAAUGGGUCAGCGACUUAUAUUCUGUAGCAAGGUUAACCGUAUAGGGGAGCCGCAGGGAAACCGAGUCUUAACUGGGCGUUAAGUUGCAGGGUAUAGACCCGAAACCCGGUGAUCUAGCCAUGGGCAGGUUGAAGGUUGGGUAACACUAACUGGAGGACCGAACCGACUAAUGUUGAAAAAUUAGCGGAUGACUUGUGGCUGGGGGUGAAAGGCCAAUCAAACCGGGAGAUAGCUGGUUCUCCCCGAAAGCUAUUUAGGUAGCGCCUCGUGAACUCAUCUUCGGGGGUAGAGCACUGUUUCGGCUAGGGGGUCAUCCCGACUUACCAACCCGAUGCAAACUACGAAUACCGAAGAAUGUUAUCACGGGAGACACACGGCGGGUGCUAACGUCCGUCGUGAAGAGGGAAACAACCCAGACCGCCAGCUAAGGUCCCAAAGUCAUGGUUAAGUGGGAAACGAUGUGGGAAGGCACAGACAGCCAGGAUGUUGGCUUAGAAGCAGCCAUCAUUUAAAGAAAGCGUAAUAGCUCACUGGUCGAGUCGGCCUGCGCGGAAGAUGUAACGGGGCUAAACCAUGCACCGAAGCUGCGGCAGCGACACUAUGUGUUGUUGGGUAGGGGAGCGUUCUGUAAGCCUGCGAAGGUGUGCUGUGAGGCAUGCUGGAGGUAUCAGAAGUGCGAAUGCUGACAUAAGUAACGAUAAAGCGGGUGAAAAGCCCGCUCGCCGGAAGACCAAGGGUUCCUGUCCAACGUUAAUCGGGGCAGGGUGAGUCGACCCCUAAGGCGAGGCCGAAAGGCGUAGUCGAUGGGAAACAGGUUAAUAUUCCUGUACUUGGUGUUACUGCGAAGGGGGGACGGAGAAGGCUAUGUUAGCCGGGCGACGGUUGUCCCGGUUUAAGCAUGUAGGCUGGUUGUCCAGGCAAAUCCGGAUAAUCAAGGCUGAGGUGUGAUGACGAGGCACUACGGUGCUGAAGUAACAAAUGCCCUGCUUCCAGGAAAAGCCUCUAAGCAUCAGGUAACAUCAAAUCGUACCCCAAACCGACACAGGUGGUCAGGUAGAGAAUACCAAGGCGCUUGAGAGAACUCGGGUGAAGGAACUAGGCAAAAUGGUGCCGUAACUUCGGGAGAAGGCACGCUGGUGUGUAGGUGAAGUCCCUGCGGAUGGAGCUGAGACCAGUCGAAGAUACCAGCUGGCUGCAACUGUUUAUUAAAAACACAGCACUGUGCAAACACGAAAGUGGACGUAUACGGUGUGACGCCUGCCCGGUGCCGGAAGGUUAAUUGAUGGGGUUAUCCGUAAGGAGAAGCUCUUGAUCGAAGCCCCGGUAAACGGCGGCCGUAACUAUAACGGUCCUAAGGUAGCGAAAUUCCUUGUCGGGUAAGUUCCGACCUG